RNAcentral lists this ribosomal RNA (366 nucleotides) under Triticum aestivum (bread wheat). RNAcentral's name for it is "partial small subunit ribosomal RNA". The record is from RNAcentral. Lineage: Eukaryota; Viridiplantae; Streptophyta; Magnoliopsida; Poales; Poaceae.
AUGCCCCGGUUCAUUUUAGAGUCACUUGGUUGUUUGAUGCGUUCGUGCUCGUCGGCGGGACGGUGCAAGGCGCAACUCCGACGCGGUUCCUCGCCGGUUGGACGGCAUUCAGGUGCAACCCCGGCGCACACUGAGUACUGCCUUGGCUAUAACCUCCCUCGAAAUUCAGUUCAUAUGAAAGAAAAGAAAGUCAUACAGUACCUGGCAUUGACAUUGGGAGCAUGGGCUACUGCUCGCACCUCUACCUACAGGUUACAGGUUCCUUCCUUUCUCUAUAUGGUGGCCUGCGAAGGAAGAUUUUUGUUACUCAUUCAGAGUUCUAUCAUGCACAAUCAUGUAUGCACACUGGUCUAUCCAGAAGAUUAG